RNAcentral lists this ribosomal RNA (489 nucleotides) under uncultured bacterium. Its description in RNAcentral is "partial 16S ribosomal RNA". It matches the Rfam family "Bacterial small subunit ribosomal RNA", at positions 30 to 507 of the family's 1533-position model. The record is from RNAcentral.
AUUGAACGCUGGCGGCAGGCCUAACACAUGCAAGUCGAACGGUAACAGGAAGACGCUUGCUUCUUUGCUGACGAGUGGCGGACGGGUGAGUAAUGUCUGGGAAACUGCCUGAUGGAGGGGGAUAACUACUGGAAACGGUAGCUAAUACCGCAUAACGUCGCAAGACCAAGAGGGGGACCUUCGGGCCUCUUGCCAUCGGAUGUGCCCAGAUGGGAUUAGCUAGUAGGUGGGGUAACGGCUCACCUAGGCGACGAUCCCUAGCUGGUCUGAGAGGAUGACCAGCCACACUGGAACUGAGACACGGUCCAGACUCCUACGGGAGGCAGCAGUGGGGAAUAUUGCACAAUGGGCGCAAGCCUGAUGCAGCCAUGCCGCGUGUAUGAAGAAGGCCUUCGGGUUGUAAAGUACUUUCAGCGGGGAGGAAGGGAGUAAAGUUAAUACCUUUGCUCAUUGACGUUACCCGCAGAAGAAGCACCGGCUAACUCCGUG